This 772-nucleotide long non-coding RNA is filed under the name Elaeis guineensis (African oil palm). RNAcentral describes it as "long non-coding RNA (EGUI_LNC028423)". Lineage: Eukaryota; Viridiplantae; Streptophyta; Magnoliopsida; Arecales; Arecaceae. The record is from RNAcentral.
AAAAAAGAAAUAGCAACAAAGACUACAAUAUCAGAUGAUGACCGAACUUCCUAUCAGAUAGAAACCGAUCCAGAUGUUAGAUACCACCAUCAUGAGGAUUUUGAUCUCAUAUAUGUUAAAUUAAUCUGAGAUUCAAACUGAGGUGACACCUCAGCGCUACGUUGCUCUCAAGCUACUAUCCAUCUUAACAGCGAGGUCAACUUGCUAUAAACUCCUAAUGACUUUUAGAAUAUGGACAACUGGCAUCCACUACUAGCAACCAUAAUUUGCAGGUUAGUGGACAGAUUCUGUAUCCCAAUAGUCUACCAGAUCAGGACUUAACAACCUAACAAGUCAGGAUCUAACGGUCUACUGAAUUUAGGCAUAAUAAUCUAUAGCUCUAUCUCUAUAUAAAGAAGUAACUAGGUAUCCUAAAGUAAGCAAGCACGUACACAAAGAAUAGUGCCCACACUCCCACGCUCGUCCAUCUCCUCUUCUUUUUUCUUUGUUUUCAAGCUUUGACUAAUUUAAGCAUCGAAAGAUUUCAUAUUAGAGCACCUCCGAUGGGUGCGGACUUCCAUUAUAAAUUUUUAAAGAAGAAAGUACUUUUUAAUCAGGCCCGAGCUCCACAUCGGCAGGUGACCGGUGUCAAUCCGAAGACUUGCACAGCAUAUAAAAAUUUUAAUCAGAGCUAACCAACCAAUUUAGCUUAUGUCUAUUGUCUUAUGUCUAUUGUCUAAAGAAACUCUAACAAAACUAUAUAGGAAAAAAUGUAGGCAAAACAUGUCAUAGC